AUGGAAUUUGGGCUGAGCUGGGUUUUUCUUGCUGCUAUUUUAAAAGGUGUGCAGUGUGAGGUGCAGCUGGUGGAGUCUGGGGGAGGCUUGGUCCAGCCUGGGGGGUCCCUGAGACACUCCUGUGCAGCCUCUGGAUUCACCUUCAGUAACAGUGACAUGAACUGGGUCCUCUAGGCUCCAGGAAAGGGGCUGGAGUGGGUCUCGGAUAUUAGUUGGAAUGGCGGUAAGACGCACUAUGUGGACUCCGUGAAGGGCCAAUUUACCAUCUCCAGAGACAAUUCCAGCAAGUCCCUGUAUCUGCAAAAGAACAGACAGAGAGCCAAGGACAUGGCCGUGUAUUACU
This 343-nucleotide long non-coding RNA is filed under the name Homo sapiens (human). RNAcentral describes it as "non-protein coding lnc-TP53TG3-42:1". The record is from RNAcentral. Lineage: Eukaryota; Metazoa; Chordata; Mammalia; Primates; Hominidae.